CGGGGAGGGGAGGGGCGGGGCGGGGCGGGGAAGCCCGGGCGCCGGGCGGCGCGGGACCUCGGGUCCCCGGCCGUGGCUGCGUGGGAAGCGGCUCAACUCGGUGCACUUGUUCACUCUUUCUUCAUUGGAGGAGGAGCCAGUGUUGCAACCUUCAUGUUCCUUGCUGGAGGCAAAACAGUGAUUUUCUGCAGCAGGCGAAUGUCCAGAGCCUGCCAGUUUUGCGAGAACCCCGGAGGAGUAUCAAGGAGAUAUUCUAAAGGGAGCCUCUCAAGUUUCAAAACCAGAAGUUACUGGAACUCUGGGCUUUCCUCCUUUGAGGCCACUUUUGCUACCAUCCCGGAAUUACUGGCGAGUGAUAUUCAUUGGCGGCCACUUGCCAGGAUGCAGGAAGACGUUAGAAAUCCCAGGAUGCUCUGGUGAUCCUUCUGGACUAGAGACCCCCAGUUUUCAACAGAAAACAGGCCAGGAUGCCCGAGUGGGUGAGAGACUGCACAGAGAAGAGACAAGACUGCCACCUCCUCUGCAAACCUCACAGAAAUGACUCCACUGUCAGGAUUUCCUGGAGGGCCACCUUUGCACAUAUGUUUGAGAAGGUGAGUGGAUGUUUUUUGCAGUGUGGUAUGUGGAGAGCCAAAAGGGAAGGCUUUCAGCCCUGUAGUCGCAGGGAAUUUUCACCCUCUUAAAAGCACUGAGAACUCCUCUAAAAGCUUAUAUUUUGUAUGAAGAUAUUUACCAUCUUAGACAUUAAAAAUAAAAAAAUAGGGCAGCCCCA
This 772-nucleotide long non-coding RNA is filed under the name Canis lupus dingo (dingo). Its description in RNAcentral is "lncRNA (ENSCAFG00020016735.1)". The record is from RNAcentral. Lineage: Eukaryota; Metazoa; Chordata; Mammalia; Carnivora; Canidae.